This 231-nucleotide ribosomal RNA is filed under the name uncultured bacterium. RNAcentral describes it as "partial 16S ribosomal RNA". It matches the Rfam family "Bacterial small subunit ribosomal RNA", at positions 86 to 334 of the family's 1533-position model. The record is from RNAcentral.
UUCAGACCCACGGCGAACGGCUGCGUAACACGUUGGUACCUGCCUCGAACUCAGGGAUAUCCCUCCGAAAGGAGGAGUAAUACCGGAUGCCCUCGCAAGAGGAAAGAUUUAUCGGUUCGAGAGGGGCCUGCGGCCUAUCAGUUAGUUGGUGAGGUAACGGCUCACCAAGACGAUGACGGGUAGCUGGUCUGAGAGGACGACCAGCCAGAAUGGAACUGAGACACGGUCCAU